GACGAACGCUGGCGGCGUGCUUAACACAUGCAAGUCGAACGGAAAGUACCUGCCUUUGUCGUGUGCUCGAGUGUCGUACGGGUGAGUAACACGUGAGUAACCUGCCCUUGACUUUGGGAUAACUUCAGGAAACUGGGCCCAAUACCCGAUAGUAGCUCCUGCUUCAUGGUGGGGGUUGGAAUGUUUCGGCGGUUGGGGAUUGACGCGUGGCUUAUCAGCUUGUUGGUGGGUUAGUGGAUUACCAAGGCAUUGGCGGGUAGCCGGCCUGAGAGGGUGGCCGGACACAUUGGGACUAAGAGACGGCCCAGACUACUACGGGAGGCAAGAGUGGGGAAUAUUGCACAAAGAGCGGAAGCCUGAUGCAGGAACGGCGGGUGCGGGAAGAAGGCAUUCGGGUUGUAAACCGCGUUCGCCUGUGACGAAGCGUAAGUGACGGUAAUGAGUAAAGAAGCACCGGCUAACUACGU
This 467-nucleotide ribosomal RNA is filed under the name uncultured bacterium. Its description in RNAcentral is "partial 16S ribosomal RNA". It matches the Rfam family "Bacterial small subunit ribosomal RNA", at positions 28 to 506 of the family's 1533-position model. The record is from RNAcentral.